CUUUCUGCACAGGUUGGGAUUGGUUGCAAUGCUGUCUGUUUGUGUGGUAUUGCACUUGUCCCGGCCUGUUGAGGAUAG
Pelobates cultripes (western spadefoot toad) is the source of this 78-nucleotide non-coding RNA. The record is from the annotation of a GenBank genome assembly. NCBI's taxonomy places the organism in Eukaryota, Metazoa, Chordata, Amphibia, Anura, Pelobatidae.